RNAcentral lists this long non-coding RNA (514 nucleotides) under Nicotiana benthamiana. RNAcentral describes it as "long non-coding RNA (NBEN_LNC034918)". The record is from RNAcentral. Lineage: Eukaryota; Viridiplantae; Streptophyta; Magnoliopsida; Solanales; Solanaceae.
GCCAUGAGAGAAGCCACCAAAACUACCUGGAGAAGAUGGAGGGUGUUGUCAUGUGUACUGGGGUCCAAUCUACAGCGCACAAAUGUUUUCUACCCCUUUGCAUCGAAGUUCAAACUUCUUCUUAGUAUCACCCCUUUCUUCCACUAAUUCUUCUCCUCCUACUUCCUCCUCAUCACUUACUGCUCCCUCUCCGAAUAAUAAAGCUGUGGGAGAGGUGGAGUAUUCAUCCCCACUACCUGCAGGUGAGCCAUCAGACGGCUCAGAAGAUACAUUCACUAACGCUUGGGCAGUGUGGGAUGCUGGAGAUGUGUCUUUUAGUCUGUUUCUCUCCGUCCAGUAAGGGAUGUACUUUGGCAAGGAAUCUGAAGAGAUUUCCCGGGUGGGCUCAUACUCACUCCCAGACAUGUCAAUUUCUCUAUCAGCAAUUAAUCAAUUUCCUGGUGUUUUUAAUAUUUUGUCAGGCUUGAGGAGUUAGUCUUAUCAUUUUUUGUUUCCCUCCCUGGAAGGAUUCUCC